GAGGGUAUAGCUCAAGUGGUAGAGCGCAUGCUUAGCAUGCACUAGAUCCUGGGUUCAAUCCCAGGUGCCUCCA
This 73-nucleotide transfer RNA is filed under the name Camelus bactrianus (Bactrian camel). It matches the Rfam family "tRNA". Rfam says of the family: Transfer RNA (tRNA) molecules are approximately 80 nucleotides in length. Their secondary structure includes four short double-helical elements and three loops (D, anti-codon, and T loops). Lineage: Eukaryota; Metazoa; Chordata; Mammalia; Artiodactyla; Camelidae. The record is from Rfam by way of RNAcentral. RNAcentral also lists the same sequence under 2 other names.